Long non-coding RNA from Scophthalmus maximus (turbot), 349 nucleotides. RefSeq lists it as uncharacterized. The record is from RefSeq and is a predicted model, not a curated record. The transcript has 3 exons. NCBI's taxonomy places the organism in Eukaryota, Metazoa, Chordata, Actinopteri, Pleuronectiformes, Scophthalmidae.
CACGAAGCUGGUUCGCUCGUUGCCCGGGGCAAAUCUCCAUGGUAACACGACUGUCAACAGUCGAACUGCUGACCAAUCAGAUCACCGGAAAACGGAGUCAUCAUUCUACAGGAUCCCGACUGGGAAAAAAAGGGCCCAAAGUGCAGAUGUCAACGUCCAUUUCUUUCUCUUCUCAGGAGAUGCAGAUAAAGAUGCAUUUCAAUGCCACCAGCUCCUCCUCUGAGUAAGUGCUGUAGUUCCCCGUUCCUCCGGCGGCGUGCCUCACGAAGCCUACAGAGCCGGCCCUCAGCUCCUCAAUCUCCUCUUUUUCGUCCUCAUCCUCCCCUUCCAGCUCCUCUUCGUCUUCCAG